GACGAACGCUGGCGGCGUGCUUAACACAUGCAAGUCGAACGGAAAGGCCCUGCUUUUGUGGGGUGCUCGAGUGGCGAACGGGUGAGUAACACGUGAGUAACCUGCCCUUGACUUUGGGAUAACUUCAGGAAACUGGGGCUAAUACCGGAUAGGAGCUCCUGCUGCAUGGUGGGGGUUGGAAAGUUUCGGCGGUUGGGGAUGGACUCGCGGCUUAUCAGCUUGUUGGUGGGGUAGUGGCUUACCAAGGCUUUGACGGGUAGCCGGCCUGAGAGGGUGACCGGCCACAUGGGGACUGAGAUACGGCCCAGACUCCUACGGGAGGCAGCAGUGGGGAAUAUUGCACAAUGGGCGGAAGCCUGAUGCAGCAACGCCGCGUGCGGGAUGACGGCCUUCGGGUUGUAAACCGCUUUCGCCUGUGACGAAGCGUGAGUGACGGUAAUGGGUAAAGAAACACCGGCUAACUACGU
RNAcentral lists this ribosomal RNA (467 nucleotides) under uncultured bacterium. Its description in RNAcentral is "partial 16S ribosomal RNA". It matches the Rfam family "Bacterial small subunit ribosomal RNA", at positions 28 to 506 of the family's 1533-position model. The record is from RNAcentral.